Molecule: long non-coding RNA, 397 nt
Organism: Mesocricetus auratus (golden hamster)
Lineage: Eukaryota; Metazoa; Chordata; Mammalia; Rodentia; Cricetidae
Exons: 3
Source: RefSeq, a predicted model, not a curated record
CAUCAGGUGUCUUUCGCUAUCACUCGCCAUCUUCAGUGAACCCGAUGCUGGAAGUUUCGGAGACUGGCCGGCAAGUGAGCUGCUGAAGCCUAACGUUGGUGUUACAGUUGUGAGGCACCACGCUUGGCAGUUCUGUCCCCAACCUCUGCCUGUGGUGCCAUUGGACCACCCAGUACCCAAACACAUGCCCCGGGGAGACAGACAGGAAGGACUCGCUGUAUCCGUACAGAAGCACCACCGUGAAUGCACCUGUGUUUCUCAAAGAGGAACCGAGCCCUGACUGGCCUUGAACUCUCUAUGCAAGUCAAGAUGAUCUUAAACUUCUGGACUUCUCGCCCUCCCCUCCUGAGUGCUGGGAUCACAGGUCUGUGCCACCACUCCUGAUGCAAGUGUCUCU